AAUUUUGGACAAUGGGGGAAACCCUGAUCCAGCAAUCCCGCGUGCAUGAUGAAGGCAUUCGGGUUGUAAAGUACUUUUGUCAGAGAAGAAAAGGUAUCUCCUAAUACGCGAUAAUGCUGACGGUAUCUGCAGAAUAGGCACUGGCUAACUCCGUGCCAGCAACUGCGGUAAUACGUAGGGUGCAAGCGUUAAUCGUAAUUACUGGGCGUAAAGCGUGUGUAGGCGGUUCGGAAAGAAAGAUGUGAAAUCCCAGGGCUCAACCUUGGAACUGCAUUUUUAACUGCCGAGCUAGAGUAUGUCAGAGGGGGGUAGAAUUCCACGUGUAGCAGUGAAAUGCGUAGAUAUGUGGAGGAAUACCGAUGGCGAAGGCAGCCCCCUGGGAUAAUACUGACGCUCAGACACGAAAGCGUGGGGAGCAAACAG
This 423-nucleotide ribosomal RNA is filed under the name uncultured bacterium. RNAcentral describes it as "partial 16S ribosomal RNA". It matches the Rfam family "Bacterial small subunit ribosomal RNA", at positions 360 to 775 of the family's 1533-position model. The record is from RNAcentral.